This 482-nucleotide ribosomal RNA is filed under the name uncultured Actinomycetes bacterium. RNAcentral's name for it is "SSU rRNA". It matches the Rfam family "Bacterial small subunit ribosomal RNA", at positions 242 to 740 of the family's 1533-position model. Lineage: Bacteria; Bacillati; Actinomycetota; Actinomycetes. The record is from RNAcentral.
CAGCUUGUUGGUGGGGUAAUGGCCUACCAAGGCAUCGACGGGUAGCUGGUCUGAGAGGAUGAUCAGCCACACUGGGACUGAGACACGGCCCAGACUCCUACGGGAGGCAGCAGUGGGGAAUCUUGCACAAUGGGCGAAAGCCUGAUGCAGCAACGCCGCGUGCGGGAAGAAGGCCCUCGGGUUGUAAACCGCUUUCAGAAGGAACGAAACUGACGGUACUUUCAGAAGAAGGUGCGGCCAACUACGUGCCAGCAGCCGCGGUGACACGUAGGCACCAAGCGUUGUCCGGAUUUAUUGGGCGUAAAGAGCUCGUAGGCGGUUCAGUAAGUCGGGUGUGAAAACUUUGGGCUUAACCCAAAGCGUGCAUCCGAUACUGCUGUGACUUGAGUACGGUAGGGGAGCGGGGAAUUCCUAGUGUAGCGGUGAAAUGCGCAGAUAUUAGGAGGAACACCGGUGGCGAAAGCGCCGCUCUGGGCCGAAAC